UCAAAAAGACAAAAAAAAAAAAAAAGUUUUUUUAUUGAAGUAUAGUUGGUUUACAAUGUUGUAUUUCUGGUGUAGAGCAAGGUGAUAAAAGAAUAUGACAAAAAAUAUAUAUAUUCUUAUAUAUUUCUUUUUUCUUUUUCAUAUGGUUUAUAACAGGAUAUUGAAUAUAGAUAGUUCCCUGUGCUAUACAGAAGGAUCUCCUUUAUCUAUUUCUAUAUAGUAGUUUGUAAAUUUCUACACAAAUUUUAGAGUCGGAUGUUGAUUUCUAUGAAAGAAAAAAAAAAAAGCCAACUGGCAUCUUAUUGGUAUUGCUUUGAACAAUUUGCUUUGGAAAAAUAGCUUAAUUUUUUUUUUUUUUUUUUUUUUUUUUUUUUUUUUUUUUNUUAGGACCACACCCGAGGCAUAUGGAGGUUCCCAGGCUAGGGUCGAAUUGGAGCUGUCACUGCUGGCUUAUGCCACAGCCACUGCAAUGCUGGAUCCUUAAUCCCCUGAGCAAGGCCAGGGAUGGAACCUACAUCCUCAUGGAUGCUAGUCAGAUUUAUUUCUGCUGAGCCAUGACGGGAACUCUGAAAAAUAGCUUAAUUUGAAGAGAAUUGAUAUCUCAACAAUAUUGAGUCUUUCAAUCCAUAAACAUUGUGUAUCUAUCCAUUUAAUGUUCAUUUAGUUAGGUCUUCUUAAAAUUUUUGUAGGAAUAUUUUAUAGUUUCCUGUAUAAAACUUCUCACAUAUUUUGCUAAAUUUAUCCAAAAUUAAGUUUUUGUGUUAUUAUUAGUGAUACUUUUAUACUUUUAUUUCUAACAUUAUUGCUAAUAUAUAGAAAUAUAUUUGAUUUUGUAUAUUGACUUUUUAAUCAUGUGAUCUUGCCAAAUUUAUUUAUUCUUGUUUUUUUCACCAUGCCUGCAGCAUGUGGAAGUUCCCAGGUCAGAGAGUGAACCCAAGCCACAGCAGUGACCCAAGCCACUGGGUUGACAACACAGGAUCUUAACCCACAGCACCACAAGGGAACUCCUGUUUAUUAGUUUCGAUAGCUUUUUGUGGGUACUUUAUGACUUCCAAAAUAGACAAUCGUUUUGUCUUUGAAUAAAGAUAAUUUCCUUUUCAGUCUGGAUAGCUUUUCUGUGUUUUACUUUUCUUAUUGCACUGUCUAGGACCUCCAGUAAAUGUAGAAAAGAAGUGAUGAGGUGGUCAUUUUUGCCCACCCAACCUUUUCAGGAGAGCAUUCAGUCUUUGUAUUAUGUUCGCUACGGAUUAUUCAUAGAUAUUCCUUAUCAAGUUCAGAAAGUUCCGGUCUAUUUCUUGUUUACCAAAUGACUUUUGAAUUUUGUCUAAUGAGAUGAUCAUAUAGUUUUUUUUUUCAAUUGUGCUAGUCUGGUGGAUUACAUUGAUUACUUUUCAAGUGGUAAACAAACCUUUUAUUCCUGGGAUAAACCUGAUUUGGUCAAGUCUCAUUUCCCUUUCUAUCUAUUGCUAGAUUUGAUUUGCUAAAAUUUUGUUAAGGGUCUAUGCUCAUUAGGGAUUCAGUUCUUUUCUUGCAAUCUUACAAUCAAAUCUUUUUUCUGAUUUGGGUAUCAGGGUAGGGCUAGCCUCAAAAUAUGAGCAGGGAAAUGUUCCUUUUUUCCCUCCUUUUUCUGAAAGAGUUUGUGUAGAAUUGAUCCUAUUUCUUCCUUAAACGUUAGGUAGGACUUACUACUGAAGCCAUCUGGAUCUGGAAUUUUCUUUAUGGGAAGAUUUUUUUUUUAAUUGAUUUACUUUUAAAAAAAUGUUAGGGUGUUCCCCGGUGUGAUCUAGUGGUUAGUACUCAGUGCUUUCACCACUGUGGCCUGGGUUCAAUCUCUGGUCUAGGAACUGAGAUCCCACAUCAAGCCACUGCAUGCUGUGGCCAAAAUAACUUUUUUAAUUUUUAAAAUAAAAAGUUCACAUUGAGAUAAAUUCCACAUAACAUAAAAUUCACCAUUUAAACCAUUUUAAAGUGUAUAAUUCAUUGGGUUUUUACUAUACUCACAGUCUUGUCAAUCAUUCUCACCAUCUAACUCCAAAAUAUUUCCAUCACACUAAAAAAAACACACCUCUCAAUUCCCUCUUUCCUCCAUCCCCUGUUAACCACUAAUAGACAUUUUAUUUGUAUGGAUCAGCCUAUUUUGAACAUUUCAUAUUAACUGAACACUAUGAUAUGUGGUAUUUUAUGUCUGGUUUCUUUCACUUAGCAUAGUGUUUUCCAUCUUCAUCUGGGUAUAUAAUGUAUCAGUACUUCAUACAUUUUUAUUGCAGAGGAAUAUUACAUGGUAUGGAUAUACCACAUUUUGUUUAUCCAUUCACCAGUUGAUGGAAACUUUAAUUAUUUCCACUUUUUGGCUACUACAAAUAAUUCCACUAUGAAAUUCAUGUACAAGUUUCUGUAUGAACAUAUGUUUACAAUUCUCUUGUGGAAUUGCUACAUCAUAUGGUAAAUUUUUUUUUGUCUUUUGUCUUUUUAGGGCCCACAUCUGCAGCAUAUGGAGGUUUCCAGGCUAGGGGUGGAAUUGGAGCUGUAGCUGCCAGCCUACGCCACAGCCACAGCAACAAGGGAUCUGGGUCGCAGACACAGCUCGGAUCCAGAGUUGCUGUGGCCGUGGCGUAGGCUGGCAGCUACAGCUCUGAUUCGACCCCUAGCCUGGGAACCUCCAUAUGCCGAGGGAGUGGCCCUAGAAAUGGCAAAAAGACCAAAAAAAAAAAAAAAAAAAGGGUUAUAGGAGUUCCUGUCAUGGCUCAGCAGUAGCAAAUCCUACUAGUAUCCAUGAGGAUGCGGGUUUGAUCCCUGGCCUUGCUCAGUGGGUUAAGAAUCCAGUGUUGCCAUGAGCUGUGGUGUAGUUCGAAGAUGUGGCUCUGAU
RNAcentral lists this long non-coding RNA (2866 nucleotides) under Sus scrofa (pig). RNAcentral's name for it is "lncRNA (ENSSSCG00055018043.1)". Lineage: Eukaryota; Metazoa; Chordata; Mammalia; Artiodactyla; Suidae. The record is from RNAcentral.